UGAGUAACACGUGGAUAACCUACCUAUAAGACUGGAUAACUUCGGGAAACCGGAGCUAAUACCGGAUAAUAUAUUGAACCGCAUGGUUCAAUAGUGAAAGACGGUUUUGCUGUCACUUAUAGAUGGAUCCGCGCCGCAUUAGCUAGUUGGUAAGGUAACGGCUUACCAAGGCAACGAUGCGUAGCCGACCUGAGAGGGUGAUCGGCCACACUGGAACUGAGACACGGUCCAGACUCCUACGGGAGGCAGCAGCC
RNAcentral lists this ribosomal RNA (254 nucleotides) under uncultured Staphylococcus sp. Its description in RNAcentral is "partial 16S ribosomal RNA". It matches the Rfam family "Bacterial small subunit ribosomal RNA", at positions 107 to 355 of the family's 1533-position model. The record is from RNAcentral. Lineage: Bacteria; Bacillati; Bacillota; Bacilli; Caryophanales; Staphylococcaceae.